Molecule: ribosomal RNA, 273 nt
Filed under: uncultured bacterium
Lineage: Bacteria
Description: partial 16S ribosomal RNA
Rfam family: Bacterial small subunit ribosomal RNA
Source: RNAcentral
UACGUAGGGUGCGAGCGUUAAUCGGAAUUACUGGGCGUAAAGCGUGCGCAGGCGGUUUGCCAAGUCAGAUGUGAAAGCCCCGGGCUUAACCUGGGAAUGGCGUUUGAAACUGGCAGGCUAGAGUUUGGCAGAGGGGGGUGGAAUUCCACGUGUAGCAGUGAAAUGCGUAGAGAUGUGGAGGAACACCGAUGGCGAAGGCAGCCCCCUGGGCCAAAACUGACGCUCAUGCACGAAAGCGUGGGGAGCAAACAGGAUUAGAAACCCCUGUAGUCC